GAUGAACGCUGGCGGCGUGCUUAACACAUGCAAGUCGAACGAUGAAGCCCAGCUUGCUGGGUGGAUUAGUGGCGAACGGGUGAGUAACACGUGAGUAACCUGCCCUUAACUCUGGGAUAAGCCUGGGAAACUGGGUCUAUACCGGAUAGGAGCGUCCACCGCAUGGUGGGUGUUGGAAAGAUUUAUCGGUUUUGGAUGGACUCGCGGCCUAUCAGCUUGUUGGUGAGGUAAUGGCUCACCAAGGCGACGACGGGUAGCCGGCCUGAGAGGGUGACCGGCCACACUGGGACUGAGACACGGCCCAGACUCCUACGGGAGGCAGCAGUGGGGAAUAUUGCACAAUGGGCGCAAGCCUGAUGCAGCGACGCCGCGUGAGGGAUGACGGCCUUCGGGUUGUAAACCUCUUUCAGUAGGGAAGAAGCGAAAGUGACGGUACCUGCAGAAGAAGCACCGGCUAACUACGUG
This 465-nucleotide ribosomal RNA is filed under the name uncultured bacterium. RNAcentral's name for it is "partial 16S ribosomal RNA". It matches the Rfam family "Bacterial small subunit ribosomal RNA", at positions 28 to 507 of the family's 1533-position model. The record is from RNAcentral.